CAUAGUAGACAGGAGUGUGUUCAUUGAUUGAUUUGCCUUUCAUUUGCAAGACUAGAAUUCUGGCUAACAUUGCAGCUUUCCAUUUCAGAUCACAUUUCAGAAAAUCCCUAUCAGUUGGCAAUGUCACAUGUGAAGUCAACAAAGAUGAAUCUAAUACUGAUGUAAGGACAAGAAGAAAUGUGAUCUCAGAGCUGCUUUCAUAUAUGGAUCUAGAUGAGACUGACAUGCCAUAUUCUAGACCAUUGUUAAAAAGAUUCCUAUCAGAUAGCAGCAUCCAACAUGAAGUCCACACAUAUGCAUCUGUUUGUGAUGCUACAACAAGCAAUCAUGUGAUCUCAGAACUGCCUUCAACCAUGCCCCUCAAUGGUAGUGAUUUAUCAUCUUCCAGGGAGAUGCGUUUGAUGGGUAGAUUUGCCAAUCUUGGACAAUAUUUUGCUAACUUAGAAGAAUGGCUUGCUUGGGUAGGGACACUCUGUUCUAGAUGACCAGAUACUCAAUUUGCUCUGCAGAGGAAAAGGCACUGGUAUUGAUGUCAAUAAGCCCCAACUCCAUUGGAGCAUGUACAUAUGUUGACAAAAACUGUUGCAUGAAUUAGUACUAGUAUUGAACAUGAAAUUUCUAUGGCAGUAAGCUCCUGUGAUAUACUAUCUUAAAGUAGAUUGUUGAUAUGUGCCAACAUGAAAUAAAAAGUCUUGCUGUGACAGAUGAUUUCCUUCUCUGCAAUGGGUUUUAGUA
Long non-coding RNA from Musa acuminata AAA Group (dessert banana), 735 nucleotides. RefSeq lists it as uncharacterized. The record is from RefSeq and is a predicted model, not a curated record. The transcript has 3 exons. NCBI's taxonomy places the organism in Eukaryota, Viridiplantae, Streptophyta, Magnoliopsida, Zingiberales, Musaceae.